Molecule: ribosomal RNA, 253 nt
Filed under: uncultured bacterium
Lineage: Bacteria
Description: partial 16S ribosomal RNA
Rfam family: Bacterial small subunit ribosomal RNA
Source: RNAcentral
UACGUAGGGUGCAGGCGUUAAUCGGAAUUACUGGGCGUAAAGCGUGCGCAGGCGGUCUUUUAAGUCAGAUGUGAAAUCCCCGGGCUUAACCUGGGAACUGCGUUUGAAACUGGAAGGCUAGAGUGUGGCAGAGGGGGGUGGAAUUCCACGUGUAGCAGUGAAAUGCGUAGAGAUGUGGAGGAACACCGGUGGCGAAGGCGGCAUCCUGGACCGACACUGACGCUGAGGAGCGAAAGCCAGGGGAGCAAACGGG